This 20-nucleotide non-coding RNA is filed under the name Arabidopsis thaliana (thale cress). The record is from RNAcentral. Lineage: Eukaryota; Viridiplantae; Streptophyta; Magnoliopsida; Brassicales; Brassicaceae. RNAcentral also lists the same sequence under 1 other name.
GGCUUGGCAGAAUCAGCGGG